RNAcentral lists this ribosomal RNA (253 nucleotides) under uncultured bacterium. Its description in RNAcentral is "partial 16S ribosomal RNA". It matches the Rfam family "Bacterial small subunit ribosomal RNA", at positions 524 to 776 of the family's 1533-position model. The record is from RNAcentral.
GACGAACCGUGCGAUCGUUGUUCGGAAUCACUGGGCGUAAAGGGCGCGUAGGCGGAUCUUUAAGUCGGGGGUGAAAGCCCAGGGCUCAACCCUGGAAUUGCCUUCGAUACUGAAGAUCUCGAGACCGGAAGAGGUUAGUGGAACUGCGAGUGUAGAGGUGAAAUUCGUAGAUAUUCGCAAGAACACCAGUGGCGAAGGCGGCUAACUGGUCCGGUUCUGACGCUGAGGCGCGAAAGCGUGGGGAGCAAACAGG